Molecule: ribosomal RNA, 279 nt
Filed under: uncultured bacterium
Lineage: Bacteria
Description: partial 16S ribosomal RNA
Rfam family: Bacterial small subunit ribosomal RNA
Source: RNAcentral
UGCCAGCCGCCGCGGUAAUACGGGGGAUGCAAGCGUUAUCCGGAAUCAUUGGGCGUAAAGCGCCUGUAGGUUGUUUAAUAAGUCUGUUGUUAAAGACUAGGGCUUAACCCUAGGAAAGCAAUGGAAACUACUAGACUUGAGUAUGAUAGGGGUAGAGGGAAUUUCUAGUGUAGCGGUGAAAUGCGCAGAUAUCAGAAGGAAUACCAAUGGCGAAGGCAGCUCUCUGGCUCGUCACUGACGCUGAGGUGCGAAAGCGUGGGUAGCAAACAGGAUUAGAUA